UGAGAUGCCAAGUGUCUUUGU
Molecule: non-coding RNA, 21 nt
Filed under: Mus musculus (house mouse)
Lineage: Eukaryota; Metazoa; Chordata; Mammalia; Rodentia; Muridae
Source: RNAcentral